RNAcentral lists this ribosomal RNA (253 nucleotides) under uncultured bacterium. Its description in RNAcentral is "partial 16S ribosomal RNA". It matches the Rfam family "Bacterial small subunit ribosomal RNA", at positions 524 to 776 of the family's 1533-position model. The record is from RNAcentral.
UACGUAGGGUGCGAGCGUUAAUCGGAAUUACUGGGCGUAAAGCGUGCGCAGGCGGUUCUUCAAGUCCGUUGUGAAAGCCCCGGGCUCAACCUGGGAAUGGCAGUGGAAACUAGGGGACUGGAAUCUGGCAGAGGGGGGUGGAAUGCCGCGUGUAGCAGUGAAAUGCGUAGAGAUGCGGCGGAACACCGAUGGCGAAGGCAGCCCCCUGGGCUGAGAUUGACGCUCAGGCACGAAAGCGUGGGGAGCAAACAGG